GGGAGACGUAUGCGUCUCGUAAAAAAAAAAGACGGAUGCCAGUUCAAUGAUGAAGCUGCGAGUCUGCGAUGAAGACCGAGGUUUCGAAACAGCUUGCAUGCUGCCAAUCGAGCGACACAUGAGGGCAGCAUUCAACAACAUAAACACGCGACUGACUCUGGUCUGAGUGGCUGAAAACUUUCUUAUUUAUUAGUAUUACGUCAGUAUCAGUACUACAAGUUUGUUUUCAUUAAAGGUCUUGACCCACAUUUCCACCAGCACCUCUGACGUACCAUCGACUGGCGCUGCCAAAACAGAUCCUUAUCACUAUCUGACGCAACAGCAUUUCACCUCAGAGAUCUUCAAGAUUGAGAUCCAAAACCUCCCAAGAUAUUUUGGAUUUGCGCAACCGAAGAAGAUAUGGACUGGUCUGCAACUGAAACCCAAGAAAGUCAAGGCAGUCAACAAGGCAACCUAUGCUUUUGUGACAUUCAGCUCGCCAAGCCAGUUGAGGACCCGGACACUAAGAGCCUCGCUCUGAAGAGAAGCCAAGAGGAAUCUGAUGGAAACACCCAAGAAGCUAAGAGGAGGAAGGAGGAGGACAGCUGACCAGUAGAAGAGAGGUUAAACAACACGGUGACUCCACUGUGGAACCAGCCAUAUGAGGACCAGCUAUCCACCAAACAGACCAACACCAGGGAGUUUCUGAGGAAUUUAUCCAAGAUGCUGCAACAGAACAUUGGGAAGAUGUCUCCCUGGCUGAAGCAACAAAGGAAGAACCACAGUGGGAUGGCAUGUGAGUUGGAGCCAAUUAAGCCAUCGCCAGUAUUAGAGAGUUAUCGCAACAAGUGUGAGUUUACCAUCGGAAAGAGUGUCUAUGGCAUCGAUAACACUGUUGGUUUCCGGCUUGGCGCUUACAAAGGUAAGUAUUUCCUCUGAAGUUUCCUUUUUGCAAAAGACGUAGAUCAACUUUUAUGUUUGAUUGGAUCGGCUGUUGAGGGGCGU
Molecule: long non-coding RNA, 984 nt
Organism: Patiria miniata (bat star)
Lineage: Eukaryota; Metazoa; Echinodermata; Asteroidea; Valvatida; Asterinidae
Exons: 8
Source: RefSeq, a predicted model, not a curated record